Molecule: ribosomal RNA, 440 nt
Filed under: uncultured bacterium
Lineage: Bacteria
Description: bacterial SSU rRNA
Rfam family: Bacterial small subunit ribosomal RNA
Source: RNAcentral
GAUGAACGCUGGCGAGAUGCCUUACACAUGCAAGUCGUACGGGGAUUUUAAUUCAAGUGCGGACGGGUGAGUAACACGUAAGAAUUUGCCUUUAGGAGGGGGGACAACAACUGGAAACGGUUGCUAAUACCCCAUAUGCUUUCGAGUGAAAUGGAUUUUCCGCCUAAAGAGAAGCUCGCGGCCUAUCAGCUUGUUGGUGAGGUAAAAGCUCACCAAGGCGACGACGGGUAGCCGGCCUGAGAGGGUGACCGGCCACACUGGAACUGAGAUACGGUCCAGACUCCUACGGGAGGCAGCAGUGGGGAAUAUUGCACAAUGGGCGCAAGCCUGAUGCAGCAACGCCGCGUGAGGGAUGAAGGCCUUCGGGUUAGUAAACCUUCUUUUAUCAGGGAAGAAGCGAAAGUGACGGUACCUGAAGAAAAGCACCGGCUAACUACGUG